Long non-coding RNA from Megalobrama amblycephala (Wuchang bream), 2812 nucleotides. RefSeq lists it as uncharacterized. Lineage: Eukaryota; Metazoa; Chordata; Actinopteri; Cypriniformes; Xenocyprididae. The record is from RefSeq and is a predicted model, not a curated record. The transcript has 4 exons.
AUUGUAGCCCGCAGCUUGCUCUGGCACAUGUAUAUUUGUUACGGCUGUAAAGCACUGGGCCGAUUCCUGUGCCACAUCUUGCAAUGACUUGGCUUAUGUUCACUCACAGAUGGUUACAUAAGCAAUAAUUAAAAUUGUCUUAAAAUUGACUUCGUUUCCUGGUAGUAUCUGAUAUGAAUUAACUAAUGCUACACAUUGAAUGUAGCGAAUUUGUCAAUAACAACAUAUCUGCGGUAAAAAAAAUAAAAGUGCCAUAUAAGAAAAAACAUUCUCUAAUAUUUAUAAUAUCAAAUCUAUUUAUAAGUAAUGUAGUAAUUCAUUCUUUUACACGCUUUCAUGUAUUUUAAACGCGCUUCACUGCGCUGUGAUUCAUUCAUGCUCGCGCGCGGCGGUGGGAGGGGUCUCGUACCUGUGGGAGUGGGUGAAUCCGCCAUGUUUGUGCGGUUUGGAGCGGACACGAGCAAAACAAUGGAUUAUUUACCAAGAGAUAUUAAAGUUUGAGGUCAUUUCGACAACAUUCUGCAUUGAUUAUGUGGAUCUCGAGUGUUUACGCUGCACUAAACUUUGACGAGCAACACUCCGAUCUGCAAACAGAGCUGAGGAAGAGGAGGAUGAUGGCGGUCCUGCAUUCACGAGAAAGAGCAGGUUUGUUUGUUUUUAGUUUUCACGCUUAUAUAUUUAUAUAAAUGCAAUUGUAAUAAGCAAAAGUUGUUUUAUUCCAUGUUUCUUCAAGAAGGUGAGUGAAGAGGAUGUUUAUACUGUCAUAGAUCAUUGUUUUCAAAUAACCUACAUACGCUAGUCACAUAAGCUAGUUUCACUGUUUUUUUUGUUAUGAUGAGAAUACUGCAAUCCGGUGCAUUAGUAUGUCUUAGAUCAUCUUCAGAUGCUAAAUGCAAGCAGAUUUUACAUUUACAGAUGCUCAUGACUGCUAAAACAUGGACAACACAAACACAAUCAUAGCUUUUGUUGCUACUAGUUGCUUCUUCACUCAGCAUGUUAAGACGCACAAGAAUUAGUGAUUAUUUCUCAUAACAUGCCAUAAAUUGCUUUUAAUAUUGCUGUGUUUUGUAGUAAUCAAGAGUGUUAUCAUCGCUGAAGAAAUGGCAGAUUUUAAUCCUCAGACACCGAGCAGUGCAAGCCCUGAAGAAAUAACACCAUAGACAUCAUCUUCUCUGACUGAACUAGCAAGGAGAUGUUGGAGCCAAUGAGAAAGCUAGCUGAACUGGAUGCUUACUGAAGAGUGAGCUUCAACACUUAAGGUUUGUGCAAAGUUACACCAUACACCAACAGACUCUGCGUGACAUUUUAAAUGUUUAUGAUCUUCAGGUGAGUUGAAAUUUGUCAACACUUACUACCUCCAUCACUGUCUUCACUGUAUAUACAAUAAAGUUGGCUUGCUUGUUUAACAUGUUAAUUUUUGCUUGAUUUUGAAGAGUGUGCAUGAUGUCAACAUGAAACACACCGUAGUCCUCCAUGCUCCUCAGUGUACCUAUGAGGAGGACCCACAAUUCUUCAAGAAAUGUAAGUGUUCAAUGCAUUAACAGAAUUGCUAGUAUCAGUGAAUGUAACGGUCUACUUUUAGUCUACUGAGUGAAACUUACAGUUGGACCCUCUAUGCUUAUUUCAGGAGGAGUUGGGAGAGCCAGAUAUCACUGAUUCUGUCAUUGUGGUCAAUGAAACGAAAGCACAAGUCCUUCAAGCACUGCAGUUGUGAUAGAAGAUGAUCUUCAGUUUUAUAAUAAAAAACUUUUCAAAAAAAUCUUCAAUUGUACAGCUGGAGGUUUAUUUUAUGUAUUUAUUUUUUAGGUGUUAUUGUUGUUUGUUUUUUGAGUUAGUAUUUUUAUGUAAUGUCCUGCAGAGGUGCCUGAUCCUGUUCCUGGAGAUCUACCUGCCUGCAGAGUUCAGCUAAGGUCUUCAGCUAAUUAUUUUGCUAAGUACAACAGCAAAACCUCUGGCACUACACAAACAGGCAGACCAGCGCUCUGGUACAAAGAUGUCUGCAAGCGUGACCUGAAAGCCGGAAGCCUGAAUCCUACAGACUUAGAAGCUACCACCGCAAACCGUGUCAGCUGGCGGCCUUGUACGUGUGACUUAUGUGUAUGUAUGUGUUUGUUAGUUUAGUUAUGUGUUUGUGAUUUAGUUAAUAAAACUUGUGCACAAUACAUAUUUGGUUCUGACUCUCUGUCUGCAAUAGAUUGUCUCUUAAAUGAUCAGAUCUUAUUACCAGCUCUAAGCACUUUAAAUGCUAAGAAAGAAUUAUUUCUCUGUGGCAGUGACAAAUACCAUUCUCUUAGAAUUAAUUAAUAAUCAAUACUGAGUGUUCACAGGAGGAACUGAUUAAAAUAUUCAUAAUUAAUCAUAAUUAAUAAUCAUAGUUAUGAAUAAUUAUUCAUAUUUCCCCUUUGAGUUAAUUCGUUACAGGUGUCACAUUAUACUCUUAUUUUGAUGUUCCAUUUUGUUUCCCUUUGUUCCUGUUUCCCUGCUCUGUUUAGUUUUGGUUUCCUUGGCUUCUGAUUAUGUCACUGUUUGUUAUCACUGUUAUCUCCUUAGUAUUUAAGUUCUGAUAUUGGUUCUGUUCCUCAUCUGGUAUUAACUUGUGUUUACUCCUGUGAUUCCUGGAUAACUGAGUUUCAUUUGAUUAAAGGACUAGACCUAUAGCUAAUUUAGCUAAUCCCGUCUUCUGCUCAUUCUUGCUGAGUACAUUACAGAAUACUGGACCCUCAAAACGAGUAUAGUUAAAGGACUAGUUUACUUUCAAAUAAAUUUUUCCUGAUAAUUUACUCACCCCCAUGUCAUCCAAGAUGUUCAUGUC